GCUUACUUGGUGAAAUUGGUAAACACGACAGACUUAAAAUCUGUUCCUUCUAGGUUAUCGGUUCAAGUCCGAUAGUAAGCACCA
Molecule: transfer RNA, 84 nt
Filed under: Alphaproteobacteria bacterium
Lineage: Bacteria; Pseudomonadati; Pseudomonadota; Alphaproteobacteria
Also listed under: 1 other name
Description: tRNA-Leu
Rfam family: tRNA
About the family: Transfer RNA (tRNA) molecules are approximately 80 nucleotides in length. Their secondary structure includes four short double-helical elements and three loops (D, anti-codon, and T loops).
Source: RNAcentral